GAUGAACGUUGGCGGCGUGCCUAACACAUGCAAGUCGAACGCUGGUAGCAAUAUCAGAGUGGCGCACGGGUGAGUAACACGUAGCUUACCUACCUCAAAGCGCGGGAUAACGUUCCGAAAGGAAUGCUAAUACCGCAUAAGCUCCCGGUCUGUAGAGGGCUGAGAGAAAAGGGCAACUCACUUUGAGAUGGGGGCUGCGGCCCAUCAG
RNAcentral lists this ribosomal RNA (208 nucleotides) under uncultured bacterium. RNAcentral's name for it is "partial 16S ribosomal RNA". It matches the Rfam family "Bacterial small subunit ribosomal RNA", at positions 28 to 244 of the family's 1533-position model. The record is from RNAcentral.